CAGUCGCCGCGGUAAUACAGAGGGUGCGAGCGUUAAUCGGAUUUACUGGGCGUAAAGCGUGCGUAGGCGGCUUUUUAAGUCGGAUGUGAAAUCCCUGAGCUUAACUUAGGAAUUGCAUUUGAUACUGGGAAGCUAGAGUAUGGGAGAGGAUGGUAGAAUUCCAGGUGUAGCGGUGAAAUGCGUAGAGAUCUGGAGGAAUACCGAUGGCGAAGGCAGCCAUCUGGCCUAAUACUGACGCUGAGGUACGAAAGCAUGGGGAGCAAACAGGAUUAGAUACCCCUGUAGUCCCUGUCUCUUAUAA
RNAcentral lists this ribosomal RNA (301 nucleotides) under uncultured bacterium. RNAcentral's name for it is "partial 16S ribosomal RNA". It matches the Rfam family "Bacterial small subunit ribosomal RNA", at positions 509 to 809 of the family's 1533-position model. The record is from RNAcentral.